ACGAACGCUGGCGGCGUGCUUAACACAUGCAAGUCGAACGGAAAGGCCCUGCUUUUGUGGGGUGCUCGAGUGGCGAACGGGUGAGUAACACGUGAGUAACCUGCCCUUGACUUUGGGUUACCUUAGGGAAAUGGGGCUAAUACCCGAUAGGGGCUCCCGCCUCAUGGGGGGGGUUGGGAAGUUUCGGCGGUUGGGGAUGGACUCGCGGCUUAUCAGCUUGUUGGUGGGGUAGUGGCUUACCAAGGCUUUGACGGGUAGCCGGCCUGAGAGGGUGACCGGCCACAUUGGGACUGAGAUACGGCCCAGACUCCUACGGGAGGCAGCAGUGGGGAAUAUUGCACAAUGGGCGGAAGCCUGAUGCAGCAACGCCGCGUGCGGGAUGACGGCCUUCGGGUUGUAAACCGCUUUCGCCUGUGACGAAGCGUGAGUGACGGUAAUGGGUAAAGAAGCACCGGCUAACUACGUG
This 466-nucleotide ribosomal RNA is filed under the name uncultured bacterium. RNAcentral's name for it is "partial 16S ribosomal RNA". It matches the Rfam family "Bacterial small subunit ribosomal RNA", at positions 29 to 507 of the family's 1533-position model. The record is from RNAcentral.